RNAcentral lists this long non-coding RNA (266 nucleotides) under Homo sapiens (human). RNAcentral describes it as "HSALNT0342965". The record is from RNAcentral. Lineage: Eukaryota; Metazoa; Chordata; Mammalia; Primates; Hominidae.
CAAUCCUGAACUUCAAAAACUAUAUGAGGGCAGAGGAAGGUGGUAGAAUAGAAGCCUAUGCCGUUCAACCCCCUCACUGGAAUACCGAAUUUUAACAACUAUCUUCACACAGAAAAGCACCAUCACAAGAACUGAAAAUCAGGUGUUGGACAAUGAUUUGAGGUCUUAGCCUGAACUUUUGAAUGAGAGGUGCCCCAUCAACUGGACUUCUCCUGAGUGUUGAAAAGAGACAAGGUCUUACUGUGUUGCCCAGGCUGAUCUCAAAC